ACUGGGCUGGCUCUAUCAGAAGAGCAUGUGACUCUUGAUCUUGGGGUCAUGAGUUCAAGUCCCAUGUGCGGUG
RNAcentral lists this transfer RNA (73 nucleotides) under Ailuropoda melanoleuca (giant panda). It matches the Rfam family "tRNA". Rfam says of the family: Transfer RNA (tRNA) molecules are approximately 80 nucleotides in length. Their secondary structure includes four short double-helical elements and three loops (D, anti-codon, and T loops). Further hydrogen bonds mediate the characteristic L-shaped molecular structure. tRNAs have two regions of fundamental functional importance: the anti-codon, which is responsible for specific mRNA codon recognition, and the 3' end, to which the tRNAs corresponding amino acid is attached (by aminoacyl-tRNA synthetases). tRNAs cope with the degeneracy of the genetic code in two manners: having more than one tRNA (with a specific anti-codon) for a particular amino acid; and 'wobble' base-pairing, i.e. permitting non-standard base-pairing at the 3rd anti-codon position. Lineage: Eukaryota; Metazoa; Chordata; Mammalia; Carnivora; Ursidae. The record is from Rfam by way of RNAcentral.